Molecule: ribosomal RNA, 513 nt
Filed under: uncultured bacterium
Lineage: Bacteria
Description: partial 16S ribosomal RNA
Rfam family: Bacterial small subunit ribosomal RNA
Source: RNAcentral
GACGAACGCUGGCGGCGUGCUUAACACAUGCAAGUCGAACGAGAGCGUAGAGAAAGCUUGCUUUUUCUACAAUCUAGUGGCAAACGGGUGAGUAACGCGUAAACAACCUGCCCUACGGAUGGGGACAACAGCUGGAAACGGCUGCUAAUACCGAAUACGUUCCGAAAGUCGCAUGACUAUCGGAAGAAAGGAUGGCCUCUAUUUAUAAGCUAUCGCCGGAGGAGGGGUUUGCGUCUGAUUAGCGAGUUGGAGGGGUAACGGCCCACCAAGGCGACGAUCAGUAGCCGGUCUGAGAGGAUGAACGGCCACAUUGGAACUGAGACACGGUCCAGACUCCUACGGGAGGCAGCAGUGGGGAAUCUUCCGCAAUGAGCGAAAGCCUGACGGAGCAACGCCGCGUGAGUGAAGACGGCCUUCGGGUUGUAAAGCUCUGUUAUACGGGACGAAUAAUCUUGUGGUUAAUACCCAUGAGAAGUGACGGUACCGUAAGAGAAAGCCACGGCUAACUACGUG